AUGCCAGAUUCCAUCACUUGGAAACUCACUACUAGUGGCCACUACUCCACAGACUCGGCAUACAGGGCUCAGUUUCUUGGCUUGGUGGACACGGAUAUGAAUCAAAAUGUGUGGAAGAACUGGGUGCCCCCAAAGUGUAAGUUUUUCGCUAGGCUUGUUAUCAACAAUAGAAUUUGCACGGCUGACAGACUCCACUGCCGUGGGUGGACGAAUUGCAAUCUUUGUCUACUAUGCCAACAAGUUCAGGAAUCGGCGGCCCACCUCCUUUUCCAAUGUCGGUAA
RNAcentral lists this ribosomal RNA (282 nucleotides) under Triticum aestivum (bread wheat). RNAcentral describes it as "partial small subunit ribosomal RNA". The record is from RNAcentral. Lineage: Eukaryota; Viridiplantae; Streptophyta; Magnoliopsida; Poales; Poaceae.